UGAGUCCGGUACCAGACGCAACAAUUCCCCCAGUACCCAGGUGUCAGUCGCCCAGGCGCGGGGGCGUGGCCUGGGCGGUGCUUGGGCGGAAGUGCCGGGACUUCCAGUGUGGGCGGGGCCGGCAGGCGGCUGGAGGCGGGGCCUGCGAGCGGGGCCCGUUAGACUGGGGUCUCCCCACCCGGUGGGCAGCCGCCUGCGUUCACUAUCGCGGGCGCCCUGCGGCGACCCCGUCUGGGCACCUGCGCGAGGCCCCCGGCGGCUUGCGGGACUCGGCCGGCUCCCCGCCGCAUCUGGAAGGGUCGAAAAGAAACGAGAGCUGGGGGGUCAUCCUUGUGGCUUUUCCGUAGCGGAAAAGCGCCUCGCCCUGAAAAUACAAACCCAGAGCCCAGGCAGCGGGUCGUCGUGGGGCCAGCACCCCUCGGGGCUCCGGUCGUGUCCUGAGGCACUCGGGACUGUCCGGACCCCCUGGGUCCUUGUUUCAAGAGUUGGCAGGGAUCCAACUGCCCUAAAUGAUCCCUAAAUGUUUAGGGACAGUUAGGCAGUGUCCCUAAAUAUUUAGGGACAAUACUUGUGAUUUCCGGGGAUCAGCACCUGCUCUUGGAUCUUCUCAAGGCCUGCUAGAUUUCAGAAUCUCAAAGGUUUGGCCACUGCACUCCCAACCCCUAAGGAAAGGAUGGGAGAUGAAUUAUUAAAGGACACCGGGGCCAUUAGCAUAUCGGGCCUCACCUCUCUGGGGCCCUUGCCCUUGAGCAACUGAAUGUUUUAUUGAAGAGGAAAAAACAUGCACGAAAAAGUUUUCUGUUACGGUCUUACAUUAUAUUUGGAAUCAGUAAGAAAAAAAACCCAACUGCUAUUGUUUUCACGAAUGGUACUGAUGAAACCUGCACCACAAAGAGUCAAGGUAUGAGACGAUAGGAAGGACAUGUAAGCUCUCUGCAUACACUUCAGAUUCAUAUUCUGGAAUUACAGAAAUCUCUAUUUUUAAAAUUCUGUACCCAAAAUGCACUGAAGACAUUCUGGGUUGGACAAACCAUGGAAUUUCCUCUUCCCAGACCAAAACAUUAUUUUCAAUUCUGGGGGCAGCCUGUAGGCCACAAAAUUGUGGAUUGUUGUAUAAAAUCAACACCUUACCUACUAUCUUGGAGUAUAAAAACGAGACAUUCCAUGAUGACACUUAAUUGAAGGAGGAGUGGCCAAUCCCCUUUAUGGCAUUAUCGUGCUGGUGUUUCAGACACCCAAGAAUCUGAAUAAAAAUUUUAGGAUACUUAGGCCCAGCCAGAGGAAGCAAGGACUGGGUGAAUUGCUCUGUAUGGUAAAGAAAAAUGGAAUUUUGAAUUUACAAGAAGACCAAGAGUCAAAAUGAGGUUUAUAGCACCAGCGCACAAAAAUACAGGAAUGCUUUGAGAAAACAGUGCCCGGAGCACAGCGCUGACAGCCAUCACCCAACCCCCUGGAAACAAGAAUCUAAGAAAACAACAACCAAGGCAUUUCCAGUUCCUGAAGAACUUUCUAUCUCCGGUGGUCCCAGUGAUCCAGCCAGAGGCAACAUCUUAGGCACAUCCUGUUCUCACUUUCGCUCUGAGUUAUUGACAACGUUAUGAAUUCAAUAUGUACAUUAGGUACCUGCUGUUCUCCUGAUUUGUUUGCACAGUUUGAGGACUUACACCGCUGUCUUCUUGAGGAUGUAAAUGGAUACUCUCCUUACAUUUUUCAUCUGUAGUUUUGCUAAUUGGCAGAGGGAGAAAAAUAAGACAAAUCAUUUUAUACAUUUCAGUCUUGGAAGAAAGUAGUCAGUGGCUUCCAUUUUGAAAUUGAGGGCAUAAGUUGCCUCGGGUUUCUGAAAUCUUUGCAAGAUAUGUAAAAAGGACACAACCAAAUCCCACCUCUCCAGACUAAAUAACUCAGAGUAGGAAAUAAAACUAAAACCAUCCUGUACGUUGCCAGGAGACUAGAAUUGCUUAUACACAAGUGUCCAUGCCUUCAAACGACAUUUGCUUCCAAAGUCAUUUUGACUGGUAAAUACUGUUUACCACCAGGUGGUGACAUUUAGGCUUCACAAGGGCAACAGCUUUGCACAACAAUCUUACACAAGGCUUCCUUCUUCUGCUACAGCGAAGAUGGAAGUUCUGUUUUGUGUACAGUUAACACCCAGAGUUUGGAAAGCAGCAGCAGUUGUCCGGACGUGUGUGAGGACUAGGGUAAAUCCAAGCAUUUAAGCACUUUUAAAUGUCAAUAACAAUCACAUGUAAAUAACAAUAGCUCACACUUUCUGACAUUCAUCCUAACUGAGGCACCAUGUUAAGUGAGGUAGGAACUAUUAUUGUCCCCACAUUACAGACAAGGAAAAUAAAGUUUAGAGAAGAUGAGUGCCUUGCUGAGGGUUUCAUAGCUAGUAAGUGGGUGUGACACGGCUCCUAAUGAUUGCAAAGCCCAUCAUCUUACCUGGGAUGCUACUCUGCCUCUUUGGCAGUUGUUUAAGCACUUCAUUUUACAUAAACGAAAUGGUAAAUGGUACAAUACCAGUACCCUUAGAGGUCAAAUAUGUGUUGGUAUUAGGGACUUAAGGAUCGAAGCCAAAGAGUUAACUCACUCCACCGCCUCCCAGUACUUCCUUAUUGCUCAGUUAGUCUUUACCCUUUGGUGGAAAUUAGAAUGAGGGCGUCCCUGAGACAAGGAGGAAGACUGAGUCAGAAGCCAAAGUGUUCCCAGAAUGAGGAAGCACAAACUUGAGAUCCACGCCUGAGGAAGAGUAGAGGGUUGUACUGACAGGUGUUAUGGGCGUCCACGGAGCAAUGACGAAGUGGUUAGCCGAGGAAUGGCGUAGAAGCAGUCUUGGGUGAGUGGUACGUGGGGUGUGAGAAAAUACAACCUUAAUAUACGUUGAAUGAAUGCCUAUCCAGUUGAUUGAUGGUGGUUAUGAGAUAACAGAAAAUAUAUACUGUUUUCUUCCCUCAGUCCUUGGCACGGAUAUCUGAAACCCAUGUAUAAUUUUAAGAGCACUAGGAUCUCUUGUUUUAAUAUUUAUUUUUUGACCCCAUCUCUGACACAGUUCUCCUAAAAUCCUUGUGAAGUCCUAAGUGGUAAGAGCACUAGGUGAAUCUUUUGUUCAAAUGAGGAGACUCUGGCUGUGCUCCCGGAUAGCUCAUUGGUCACUAGAAUGAUGAAACUGUGAUCAGAAGGUUGGAACUUCAGCCCCAUCCCCUACCCUUCAGAGAGCGGAGAGAGGCUGGAAAUGGAAUUAAUAAUUGAUCAUGCCUACAUCAACAAACUUCCAUAAAAUCUCAGAGGUAUGGGGUUCAGAGAGCUUCCUAGCAUGUGAAUGUAUCCAUGUUUGGGGAAUGUGGUGCACCCCAGCUCUGUAGCGACAGAAGCUCCUGUGCUUGGGACCCUUCCAGACCACACCCUAUGUCUUUCCUCAGCUGGCUGUUCAUUGUAUUCUUUCUCAUAUCCCUUAAUAAACGGAUAAAUAUAAGUAAAUGCUUCCCUGAGUUCUAUGAGCCACUUUAGCAAAUACAUCAAACUCAAGGAGGGAUUCCUGGGAACUCAGAUUUAUAGCCCAUCUGUCAGAAGCACAGAUGACAACUUGUACUUGAGAUUGACAUGUGAAGUGGGGUGGGAAUAGUCUUGCAGAACUGAGACCCGAAGCUGUGCGAUCUGACAUUAUCUCCAGGUAGACAGUUUAAGAAUUGAAUUAAGUUAAAUUGUAGGACACACAGCUGGUGUCACAGAAUUGUUUGGUAUGGGCGGGGGGGGGAACCCCGCACAUUUAGUGACCAGAAGUCAAAAGUGAAGUGUUCUGUGCGAGCAGUUAAGGGGACCCACAGGAGGAAAGACAGAUUUUUGUAAUAUUGUGGUUAAUGUGAACAUAGGAAAACACAGGGAGCCUUUGCACAGAGGGGCUUUAAUAGUUUUGUCACACUAAGCAUUAAGCCAACAAAGACCUUAAAGUGCUGUCUCACUAUGGACAAGAAGGCUGUUUGUAGAGAAAAGGAAAUAGAUCAGCAGCAGAAACAAAAGGCAAGGAUAAACGGGCUCUGAAUGGACAAGUGUAACAGCAUUACUCCCCGGUGAUCAAGCGCAUGAGUUACCUUGUUAACAUUUGUCGCAAGUAUUUAGUAAAUACACAGUGAAAUGCCAACUGUGCAGAUAACAGCAUUUUUCACUAGUGAAAUAUCAAGCCAGUGAGGUUUUGUAAUCACAAAUGAACAAUUUCAAUUUUUAAACAUGCAGUCACUCAAAAUGAGUAAGCAGACUUUUAUUCAAACCUUACAAACAACCUUUACAUUUAGCCUAAGAUUAAGCAGGAGAAAGUUGAACCCGUGGUUACUUUUCAUUGCCCAGUUAAGCAUCUGAACACAAAGUAUUUCCAGUGAACACGCAUUUAUCAAACAUGAUCAUCCCAAUGAACUUGGCAAUGAAUAGUGACCCAAACCAAACUGUAAUUUACUCUGGUCUACAUGAUCUUCAGAGCCUAAAAGUACCUAUUUAGUAACGAUUUUAAAAAGUCACAGAACUUUAAGUCUGCAUGAAUGGACUUCCCUAAGUUUUCAGCAAACCUAAUAAAGGCUAAUGAAGGGUUUCAUAAGGACGGAGGUCCUGACAGAAAUAUUAUAAUUAUCUUGUAGUAUAAUAACUGAGAAUAAAAAGGAAGAGAUGGCAUACUAUUCUCUAGGAGAAUAAUGUACUCUUAAUGUACCAGAGUCCCUAAAAAAAAAAAAAUCCAAUAAAGCAGAUGGGAAAUAUUGAAAGAAAAACGGAAUUAUUCCCAUUUUGUGCUGUAUGCUGUACUGGAUGAUACAGAAUCAGAUUCAGAAAUGAGCAGCUGAAAUUUUUACCUGAGAGCCAAAUGGGCUCAGGAUUCUAAGAUCAUCAGGCUGAAGCCCUACCCCUGAACAACUUCCUGCUGGUACGAUUUUAAGCAAGCCACUGAAUGUCUCUGUAAACUCAGAGCCUUCUGUUUUGGGAUAACACCGUUUUUGGGCUUCCCUACCUCACAGGGUUGCUUUGAGGAAGAAACAAGACAAUAAAUGGUAAAGUAUUUUGUAAACAAAUAUAUUAGCUGUUGCAACUCUUCGUGAAUCUUAACUACUAAUGCAAGGAAAAGUAAAAAAAAAAAUCAUUAAAAUUAUUUUUAAACUAGA
Long non-coding RNA from Acinonyx jubatus (cheetah), 5141 nucleotides. RefSeq lists it as uncharacterized. The record is from RefSeq and is a predicted model, not a curated record. The transcript is spliced from 4 exons. Lineage: Eukaryota; Metazoa; Chordata; Mammalia; Carnivora; Felidae.